UACGUAGGGGGCAAGCGUUGUCCGGAUUUAUUGGGCGUAAAGAGCGUGUAGGCGGCUUGGUAGGUCUUGCGUCAAAACCUGAGGCUCAACCUCAGUUCGCGUGGGAAACCACCUAGCUAGAGUCCGGAAGAGGAGAACGGAAUUCCCAGUGUAGCGGUGAAAUGCGCAGAUAUUGGGAAGAACACCAGUGGCGAAGGCGGUUCUCUGGGACGGUACUGACGCUGAGACGCGAAAGCUAGGGGAGCAAACGGG
This 252-nucleotide ribosomal RNA is filed under the name uncultured bacterium. Its description in RNAcentral is "partial 16S ribosomal RNA". It matches the Rfam family "Bacterial small subunit ribosomal RNA", at positions 524 to 776 of the family's 1533-position model. The record is from RNAcentral.